AAUAGAUCCUCCCUUACUAACCAGCUGUUUGCUGCUUUGGUGUCUAUAAAGUGUUUCUGAAGGGCAUGUGGGUGUCUGCAAUGGAGUUCCUUUCUACUCCAGGAUGUUUUCUUGUAUGUGUGCAGUGUUGUCUAUUGGGUUUGGAGUGUUGUUCUGUAGAUUUAAUGGUGUCAUGUUUAUAUCUGUCAAGACUAUAGUUUUGUGUAGUUGUGAUGUAUGUUGUUUUUUAUGGAAGAACUCUCUCAAACUACAGAUCUGUCUGUCGUGUAAAUGUAGAAUAUCAAUAAGGCCAUGUCCUUCUUCUUUGAGUGGGAGAGUAGUUCUUUCUAUGGCAGAUUUUAGGUGAUGGUACUGGUAGUG
Molecule: long non-coding RNA, 360 nt
Filed under: Androctonus crassicauda
Lineage: Eukaryota; Metazoa; Arthropoda; Arachnida; Scorpiones; Buthidae
Source: RNAcentral